CCUGGCUCAGGAUGAACGCUGGCGGCGUGCCUAAUACAUGCAAGUCGAGCGAACGGACGAGAAGCUUGCUUCUCUGAUGUUAGCGGCGGACGGGUGAGUAACACGUGGAUAACCUACCUAUAAGACUGGGAUAACUUCGGGAAACCGGAGCUAAUACCGGAUAAUAUUUUGAACCGCAUGGUUCAAAAGUGAAAGACGGUCUUGCUGUCACUUAUAGAUGGAUCCGCGCUGCAUUAGCUAGUUGGUAAGGUAACGGCUUACCAAGGCAACGAUGCAUAGCCGACCUGAGAGGGUGAUCGGCCACACUGGAACUGAGACACGGUCCAGACUCCUACGGGAGGCAGCAGUAGGGAAUCUUCCGCAAUGGGCGAAAGCCUGACGGAGCAACGCCGCGUGAGUGAUGAAGGUCUUCGGAUCGUAAAACUCUGUUAUUAGGGAAGAACAUAUGUGUAAGUAACUGUGCACAUCUUGACGGUACCUAAUCAGAAAGCCACGGCUAACUACGUGCCAGCAGCCGCGGUAAUACGUAGGUGGCAAGCGUUAUCCGGAAUUAUUGGGCGUAAAGCGCGCGUAGGCGGUUUUUUAAGUCUGAUGUGAAAGCCCACGGCUCAACCGUGGAGGGUCAUUGGAAACUGGAAAACUUGAGUGCAGAAGAGGAAAGUGGAAUUCCAUGUGUAGCGGUGAAAUGCGCAGAGAUAUGGAGGAACACCAGUGGCGAAGGCGACUUUCUGGUCUGUAACUGACGCUGAUGUGCGAAAGCGUGGGGAUCAAACAGGAUUAGAUACCCUGGUAGUCCACGCCGUAAACGAUGAGUGCUAAGUGUUAGGGGGUUUCCGCCCCUUAGUGCUGCAGCUAACGCAUUAAGCACUCCGCCUGGGGAGUACGACCGCAAGGUUGAAACUCAAAGGAAUUGACGGGGACCCGCACAAGCGGUGGAGCAUGUGGUUUAAUUCGAAGCAACGCGAAGAACCUUACCAAAUCUUGACAUCCUUUGACAACUCUAGAGAUAGAGCUUUCCCCUUCGGGGGACAAAGUGACAGGUGGUGCAUGGUUGUCGUCAGCUCGUGUCGUGAGAUGUUGGGUUAAGUCCCGCAACGAGCGCAACCCUUAAGCUUAGUUGCCAUCAUUAAGUUGGGCACUCUAAGUUGACUGCCGGUGACAAACCGGAGGAAGGUGGGGAUGACGUCAAAUCAUCAUGCCCCUUAUGAUUUGGGCUACACACGUGCUACAAUGGACAAUACAAAGGGCAGCGAAACCGCGAGGUCAAGCAAAUCCCAUAAAGUUGUUCUCAGUUCGGAUUGUAGUCUGCAACUCGACUACAUGAAGCUGGAAUCGCUAGUAAUCGUAGAUCAGCAUGCUACGGUGAAUACGUUCCCGGGUCUUGUACACACCGCCCGUCACACCACGAGAGUUUGUAACACCCGAAGCCGGUGGAGUAACCUUUUAGGAGCUAGCCGUCGAAGGUGGGACAAAUGAUUGGGGUGAAGUCGUAACAAGGUAGCCGUAUCGGAAGGUGCGGCUGGAUCACCUCCUUU
This 1535-nucleotide ribosomal RNA is filed under the name Staphylococcus aureus. RNAcentral's name for it is "partial 16S ribosomal RNA". It matches the Rfam family "Bacterial small subunit ribosomal RNA". Lineage: Bacteria; Bacillati; Bacillota; Bacilli; Caryophanales; Staphylococcaceae. The record is from RNAcentral.